GUAGGGGGCUAGCGUUAUCCGGAAUUACUGGGCGUAAAGGGUGCGUAGGUGGUUUUGCAAGUCUGAAGUGAAAGCCCGGGGCUUAACCCCGGGACUGCUUUGGAAACUGUAGGACUAGAGUGCAGGAGAGGUAAGUGGAAUUCCUAGUGUAGCGGUGAAAUGCGUAGAUAUUAGGAGGAACACCAGUGGCGAAGGCGGCUUACUGGACUGUAACUGACGUUGAGGCUCGAAAGCGUGGGGAGCAAACAGGAUUAGAUACCCUGGUAGUCCACGCCGUAAACGAUGAUUACUAGGUGUUGGUGGGUACGACCCAUCGGUGCCGCAGCAAACGCAAUAAGUAAUCCACCUGGGGAGU
Molecule: ribosomal RNA, 355 nt
Filed under: uncultured bacterium
Lineage: Bacteria
Description: bacterial SSU rRNA
Rfam family: Bacterial small subunit ribosomal RNA
Source: RNAcentral